CCGUGGCCCUGCCACCUCUGAAGAUGACGAGAGUCGUCCGAGGGGAGUCUCCGCGGGAGGUAUACCGUAAACCCUUUGUAUUCCAUGUCAUCUGUCUGAACUGUUUAUAACAAAUGUUUAAAACUUUCAACAACGGAUCUCUUGGUUCUCGCAUCGAUGAAGAACGCAGCGAAAUGCGAUAAGUAGUGUGAAUUGCAGAAUUCAGUGAAUCAUCGAAUCUUUGAACGCACAUUGCGCCUCCUGGCAUUCCGGGAGGCAUGCCUGUUCGAGCGUCAUUAAAAACCACUCAAGCUCUUUUGCUUGGUCAUGGAAGAUGGGGGACCUCACGGUUCCCCCCUCCCGAAAUCCAAUGGCGGAAAUUCUCACGGUCCCGGCGUAGUAAUCCAAUCUUUCGUCUUGAAUGUGAGAGGCUCCUGCCCCAAACCCCCAACAUCAUUCUAGGUUGACCUCGGAUCAGGUAGGGAUACCCGCUGAACUUAA
RNAcentral lists this ribosomal RNA (480 nucleotides) under fungal sp. F8_OT2-197. Its description in RNAcentral is "eukaryotic LSU rRNA". The stretch from base 122 to 275 matches the Rfam family "5.8S ribosomal RNA". The record is from RNAcentral. Lineage: Eukaryota; Fungi.